UACGUAGGGUGCAAGCGUUGUCCGGAAUUAUUGGGCGUAAAGAGCUCGUAGGCGGUUUGUCGCGUCUGCUGUGAAAACCCGAGGCUCAACCUCGGGCCUGCAGUGGGUACGGGCAGACUAGAGUGCGGUAGGGGAGAUUGGAAUUCCUGGUGUAGCGGUGGAAUGCGCAGAUAUCAGGAGGAACACCGGUGGCGAAGGCGGCAUCCUGGACCGAGAUUGACGCUGAUGCGCGAAAGCCAGGGGAGCAAACGGG
Molecule: ribosomal RNA, 253 nt
Filed under: uncultured bacterium
Lineage: Bacteria
Description: partial 16S ribosomal RNA
Rfam family: Bacterial small subunit ribosomal RNA
Source: RNAcentral